AAUCAAUCAGCAGAAACCUGUGGGAAUGAGAAAUACGACUUCAGGCAGGGGAUGUUGUGAUGCAGAUUUUCUGGCCUGAUUGAAAACAGAGACAAAUUGCAAAAGACAACAUACUGGGCCUGCCAAGCCAUGGGACAAGUGUACCAUGACAGCUGCUUCACCUGCUAUGUCUGCGGUGCUCCAGGAUUUGGGAAAGUCCUUCCAUCCCGACUGUUUCCGAUGUGUCAUCUGUAAUGAAACUCUGGAGGGACAGCAAUUCAGUGUAGACACACAAAACAAGAUAUACUGUGUGAAAGAUUACCAC
Cyprinus carpio carpio is the source of this 304-nucleotide long non-coding RNA. NCBI's taxonomy places the organism in Eukaryota, Metazoa, Chordata, Actinopteri, Cypriniformes, Cyprinidae. The record is from Ensembl.